RNAcentral lists this long non-coding RNA (1484 nucleotides) under Felis catus (domestic cat). RNAcentral's name for it is "lncRNA (ENSFCAG00000049203.1)". The record is from RNAcentral. Lineage: Eukaryota; Metazoa; Chordata; Mammalia; Carnivora; Felidae.
GCUGUUUCCUGCUUGUAUCCUACUGAGAUUAGUCCACUCGAUUAACUACCUCAGAAAACCUGGAAUUCCUUCCUUCCUUCCUUCCUUCCUUCCUUCCUUCCUUCCUUCCUUCCUCCUUCCUCCUUCCUUCCCUCCUUCCUUCCCUCCUCCCUCUCUUCCUUCCUCCCUUCCUUCCUGCCUUCCUUCCUUGCUUUCUUCCUUUUUUUCCUUCCUUCCUUUUUUCCUUCCUUCCUUCUUUUUUUCCUUCCUUUCUCCUUCCUUCCUUCCUUCCUUCCUUCCUUCCUCCCUUCCUCCCUUCCUUCCUCCCUUCCUCCCUUCCCUCCCUCCUUCCUUCCCUCCUUCCUCCUUCCUUCCUCCUUCCCUCCUUCCUUCCUCCUUCCUCCUUCCUCCUUCCUUCCGUCCUUCCUUCCUUCCUUCCUUCUCCUUCCUUCCUUCCUCCCUUCCUCCCUUCCCUCCCUCUUCCUUCCUUCCUCCCUCCCUCCCUUCCUUCCUCCUUCCCUCUUUCCUUCCUCCCUUCCUUCCUGCUUCCUUCCUUCCUUCCUUCUUCCUUCCUUUCUCCUUCCUUCCUUCCUUUCUUCCUCCUUCCUCCUUCCUUCCUUUUUUCCUUCCUUCCUGCUUCCUUCCUUCCUCCCUCUUCCUUCCUUCCUUCCUCCCUCCCUCCCUCCUUCCUUCCUUCCUUCUCCCUCCUUCCUUCCUUCCGUCCUCCCUUCCUCCUUCCUUCCUCCUUCCCUCCUUCCUUCCUUCCUCCCGUCCUUCCUUCCUUCCUCCUUCCUCCUUCCCUCUUCCUUCCUCCCUCCUUCCUUCCUUCCUUUUUCCCUUCCUUCCUUUUUCCCUUCCUUCCUUUCUCCUUCCUUCCGUCCUCCUUCCUUCCUCCUUCCCUCCCUCUUCCUUCCUUCCUUCCUCCCUCCCUCCUUCCUUCCUUCCUCCCUCCCUCCUUCCUUCCUUCCUUCCUCCUUCCUCCUUCCCUCCCUCUUCCUUCCUUCCCUCCUUCCUUCCUCCCUCCCACCCUUCCUUCCUCCUUCCCUCCUUCCUUCCUCCUUUCCUUCCUGCUUCCUUCCUUCUUCCUUCCUCCUUCCCUCCUUCCUUCCUUCUUCCUUCCUUUUUCCCUUCCUUCUUUUUCCCUUCCUUCCUUUCUCUUCCUUCCUUCCUUCCUUCCUUCCUUCCUUCCUUCCUCCUUCCCUCCUUCCUUCCUCCCUUCCUUCCUCCUUCCUUCCUCCCUUCCUUCCUUCCUUCCUUCCUUCCUUCCUUCCUUUUUCCCUUCCUUCCUUUUUCCCUUCCUUCCUUUUCCCUUCCUUGCUUUCUCCUUCCUUCCUUCCUUGCUUGCCUCCUUGCUUCCUUCCUCCCUCCCUUCUUCCUUCCUUCUUCUUUCCUUCCUUCCUUCUUUAUUCUGGUAAAACAUAAAUGCAAACUUUAUUAGGGCACAAGGAGAUAUUAGGACUUCUGUUUGCAAGUGUUCAGUAAAUGCACUAUUGUCUACUUCUAAC